RNAcentral lists this ribosomal RNA (281 nucleotides) under uncultured Staphylococcus sp. Its description in RNAcentral is "partial 16S ribosomal RNA". It matches the Rfam family "Bacterial small subunit ribosomal RNA", at positions 81 to 354 of the family's 1533-position model. The record is from RNAcentral. Lineage: Bacteria; Bacillati; Bacillota; Bacilli; Caryophanales; Staphylococcaceae.
CUCCUUUGACGUUAGCGGCGGACGGGUGAGUAACACGUGGGUAACCUACCUAUAAGACUGGGAUAACUUCGGGAAACCGGAGCUAAUACCGGAUAAUAUUUCGAACCGCAUGGUUCGAUAGUGAAAGAUGGUUUUGCUAUCACUUAUAGAUGGACCCGCGCCGUAUUAGCUAGUUGGUAAGGUAACGGCUUACCAAGGCGACGAUACGUAGCCGACCUGAGGGGGUGAUCGGCCACACUGGAACUGAGACACGGUCCAGACUCCUACGGGAGGCAGCAGGA